GGAGGGGAGUAGUCAAGAUGUCAAAAAAUUGUCUUAGUUUUAGGAAAUUUCUUAAAGAAUAAAACCAGGGAUGGGGGUCACCCUCUUUUGAUCUUUCUUUUUGGAACUGCUCUGAUCCUCAACCUAUUUAAGUGGUCUGCAUGCCAGUUUAGUGGCACUGUCAUCAAUCAUAUGUGAAUUAUAGCAGUAGGUAUAAUGUCAGCCAUUUGAAAGCUUCCAGGAAUCAGACUCCGGCUCACUUUUAUAUGGUGCGUUUGUUGUGUAGGAUGAUUCCCAACAGGGUUGACAAAACUGUGUGUGUGAUUUCUUUAAGAAUCCAACAGACACUCAGAAAUCAAGCUGCCAGUGAAGAACACACCCGCCUUUCCAUUAGACAAUUCUUCCCCAUUAACAAACAGUGCUAUAUGCCUGACAAGUUCCUAUUUGGUCUGUGCGGAGGAAAUGUCAACAACAUGAAGCAAACAAGCAAACACUGAGGACCAACAGUCGACUGAGACAGAAGUCAGAAAGGGCUGUCUGAAAAUCUGGGAAAUGACAAGAGGUGUUAGAGAGCAACCUUGGAUACACUUUCUCCAGUGUCUGCUGAUGGUUUUGUAGGAACCUCUUAUUUUCAGAUGGUGGCCUGGCAGCAUCCUGAUUCGUUGUUAAACCAUCAAGUAAUCCCAUUCCCUUCCUCCAAAUUUGCACACGCAAACUCAUCUGAGGCUGGAGAAGAGACUAGGGCAGAGGGAAAGAACAUGCGGCAUUGAACUGUUGGCGUUUUGCAGUAGUGGAGACUUUGGCUCUCUUUGACAUAUUUUGGCUGAGCCAACUCAACACAUUCCUGGGCAUCAGAGUAACAGAUGCCUUCUAUAAGAAGAGUUUGUACCUCCUCCUUACUAGAGCAGCCAUCUGCUUCAUUUUAACCCUGGAACUUUUUGGUUCCUGUGACACCCGAUCAAAGUGAUGGCAUUCUGGGAGCAGGGGAAGGAAGCUGGAGUGGCUGAGGAUUAGAUACAGCAGAGACAUGGUAAACCCAGAGAUAACAUAUUGUGCAGGAUGAACGGCAAAAUUAAAAGUGAGAAAACUGCAGAAAAACAAACUUUAUAUAUACUGAACCCAUUCAAGUGAAACCCAGAGAAAGUCAAUCCAAAUCCCACUGCUUCAAUCAAGGAUGCCCAACAGACAGCCCUUGGACAGGAGCAAUUCUCAAGAAAAUCUGUGAAAAAGAGACUGGGAAAAUAGCUGUAAAAUGCCUUCAGAUUGGUAGCUGUAGCAGCCUUUCAUCUGGAAGCACCUUGAGAUUCACUCUGCUGCAUACAACUGUGCUCACUUUGUGAAGAGUUCUCCAGCCAGACCAGAAGCAAUUCAAACACAUUGGGAUGACUCAGAAUGUGUGUGCCGCAUCCAGACUUCCCUUCUUUUCCUAGCUUGCUGUGCCAACUGGUAAGGGAGGGAAUUACCAAGGCACAUGAAUGAGAAGAUUCUUCUAGUUCAAAUGCCCUUCUUUCAGUCUCAGGAUAGUGGUGGCCUGAACGUGGUCUCUGAGCUUCUCGUUCUCAAGUCCUCUGCUGACAAGCUCUAAGAGCAGUUGAGACCCGUUCCCUUGCUUGUUCUAUAGCUCAGACAGCUACUGAGUCUGGACAGGGGUAGUAUGCCAUAGCAUGCUGUAACCUGAAAGAAAACCUAAUGUAUCAAAAAAAAAAA
Molecule: long non-coding RNA, 1686 nt
Organism: Varanus komodoensis (Komodo dragon)
Lineage: Eukaryota; Metazoa; Chordata; Lepidosauria; Squamata; Varanidae
Exons: 3
Source: RefSeq, a predicted model, not a curated record